UUCAGCAACAGGUUUUCAUGUCCGCAGGUUCCGAGGAGAUCUCUCAAUCGCCAGUGCAGGCGGUGGAGCCCACUCGCUGCGUCCUCCUGGAGCCUGCGUUUGAAUUUAGGAGAAGUUUGAAGUGCAGCACUCUGAAGGCUACCGGCAGAUCUCAGCCUUGGAGGAUGACCUCGCGCAGACCAAAGCCAUUAAAGACCAAUUGCAGAAAUACAUCAGAGAGCUGGAGCAAGCAAACGACGACCUGGAAAGAGCCAAGCGCGCCACGAUCAUGUCUCUCGAAGACUUUGAGCAGCGCUUGAAUCAGGCCAUCGAAAGAAAUGCCUUCCUGGAAAGUGAACUUGAUGAAAAAGAG
RNAcentral lists this small RNA (352 nucleotides) under Pan troglodytes (chimpanzee). RNAcentral describes it as "retained intron". Lineage: Eukaryota; Metazoa; Chordata; Mammalia; Primates; Hominidae. The record is from RNAcentral.